ACUGGGACUGAGACACGGCCCAGACUCCUACGGGAGGCAGCAGUGGGGAAUUUUCCGCAACGGGCGAAAGCCUGACGGAGCAAUACCGCGUGAGGGAGGAAGGCCUUUGGGUUGUAAACCUCUUUUCUUAAGGAAGAAGAUCUGACGGUACUUAAGGAAUCAGCAUCGGCUAACUCCGUGCCAGCAGCCGCGGUAAUACGGAGGAUGCAAGCGUUAUCCGGAAUUAUUGGGCGUAAAGCGUCCGCAGGCGGCACUAUAAGUCUGCUGUCAAAGACCGCAGCUCAACUGCGGAAAGGCAGUGGAAACUGUAGAGCUAGAGUACGGUAGGGGUAGAGGGAAUUCCCAGUGUAGCGGUGAAAUGCGUAGAGAUUGGGAAGAACACCAGUGGCGAAAGCGCUCUACUGGGCCGUAACUGACGCUCAGGGACGAAAGCUAGGGGAGCGAAAGGGAUUAGAUACCCCUGUAGUCCUAGCUGUAAACGAUGGAUACUAGGCGUAGCUUGUAUCGACCCGAGCUGUGCCGAAGCUAACGCGUUAAGUAUCCCGCCUGGGGAGUACGCACGCAAGUGUGAAACUCAGAGGAAUUGACGGGGGCCCGCACAAGCGGUGGAGUAUGUGGUUUAAUUCGAU
Molecule: ribosomal RNA, 629 nt
Filed under: uncultured cyanobacterium
Lineage: Bacteria; Bacillati; Cyanobacteriota
Description: bacterial SSU rRNA
Rfam family: Bacterial small subunit ribosomal RNA
Source: RNAcentral